This is an RNA transcript of Oncorhynchus kisutch (coho salmon), 3551 nucleotides long. It is a transcript of the gene named zinc finger protein 251-like, with no coding region annotated. NCBI's taxonomy places the organism in Eukaryota, Metazoa, Chordata, Actinopteri, Salmoniformes, Salmonidae. The transcript is spliced from 2 exons. The record is from RefSeq and is a predicted model, not a curated record.
GUUUGGGUUUGUUUGUCCUCGUCCGCGAAAACAUACAUGCUGAAUACCCAACUUUCAGUCGACUAAAACAUGUCUAAACUCCAGUCGUUUCGUGUGUUUUUAAAUGAGCGUUUAACGGCGGCAGCUGUGGAGAUUUUCGGGGCAGUUGAAGAAACGGUAGCGGAGUACCACGAGGAGAAUGAUCGGUUACGGAGACUGCUGCGGAUCACACCGGAGAUAAAACUAUGUAGGAUAGAUCCUCAAAAGGUUCUACAGCUGGACCAUCGAGAGCAUCCUGACUGGUUGCAUUACUGCCUGGUAUGGCAACUGCUCGGGGCCAAGCUUCCUGCCAUCCAGGACCUCUAUACCAGACGGUGUCAGAGGAAGGCCCUAAAAAUUGUCAGACUUCAGCCACCCUAGUCAUAGACUGUUCUGUCUGUUAAUGCACAGCAAGCGGUACUGGAGUACCAAAUCUAGGUCCAAAAGGCUUCCUAACAGCUUUUACUCCCAACCCAUGGAUUUGUUGGGGCGGUAUGCAAAUUGGUGUGGGUCUAGGGUUUGGUGUUGAUGUGAGCCAUGACCAGCUAUAUAAACCACGCCCCUCUGCAAACACGACUUCUCCGAUGUUUGUGACAAUGCAGUACUUAUUUAAAGAGAAGAGAAUAUUAUGUUAGCACACAUUAAAAUUAAGUGAUGUCACCUUGUCCCCUUAAUAAUGAGUCCAAGUGUUUGACAUGGGGGAGGGAACCAGUAACUUUAUGAUCAGACUUUAUCAAUGUAGAAGCAACAGUCAUUUUCACACUUUGGUCAUCAUACUUUAAUCUGGUUUCCUUCAAAUAUCAUCCAAUUUCAUGAAACACAUACUUCUGACUGCUCAUGGCCUUUAACUAUCCACGUGCUCUGGCAGAGUUCCUGGUCACAUGCUGUUUUCAAUUAGAGAAAUUGGUUCUUGAGUUCAGUUCUGCUUUAAGAAGAUGCAUUUUAGAAAUAGGUGGGUUUAUGACUGUGGCUGUGCCAGCUAGUGACGACUGUCUAAAGGCUCUAUAGAUAACCUUUGCUCCUCGCUCCUUUCCUCCAGACUCCCUGCAGCUCUCUGUCUCUGAGGAGGAGGUUCUCCCUGAGCAGCAGCACUGUGAGCAGGAGUGGAGCCCCAGUCUGGGGCAGGAGAACCCAGAGCUUCCACAGAUUAAAGAGGAACAGGAGGAACUCAGGACCAGUCAGGAGGAAGACCAGCUUCAAGGGCUGGAGGCUGAUUUCAAAAUCACUCCUUCCUGUGUGAAAAGUGAAUGUGACCAGGAGGACCCAUUUCAGUCCUUCACUUCUCCCCAAACCCAGACUGUGGAGAACAGAGAGAGUGAUCCUAAACAAGUGGUUCUCACACCUUUUGUUACUGUGACCCACCUUAAGGGUCUCAACAUUCCCUGUGACCCUCCAGAUAAUCAAAACAAUGCCUCCAGCCACAGCUCCACCUUAAGCAGCGACCCAGCGGCACUUGACAGCAGCCCAUCGUUGGAUCCCAGCCCAUCGAUGGCGGAACAUUCUUCCAGCACGUCUAGAAAAACUCACCACUGCUGUGAAUGUGGUGAAAACUUUGCUCUGAAAGCUGACCUGCAGAGGCAUAUGACUCUCUACAAGAAGAGACUCCGUGAAUGCAGUUUCUGCAGAAAACGCUGCACCUCCACCUGUAAACUAAAGGCCCAUAUCCGCCUCUGUCACAGUGGGAGACCCUGCACCUGCCCUGUUUGUGCCAAGACCUUCAAACUCAAAGGAUAUCUGUCCAAGCACAUGAGGAUUCACACAGGAGUGGGAGAGAAACCAUUUAGCUGUGGAGACUGUGGGAAAAGCUUUAAUUUGAAGGGGAACCUAAAGAACCAUAUGUUGACUCACACAGGAAAUAAAUCAUUUAGCUGUGGAGACUGUGGGAAAAGCUUCAUUCAUAAGUGGAACCUAAGGAGCCAUAUGCUGACUCACACAGGAGAGAAAGCAUUUAGCUGUGGAGACUGGGAAAAGCUUCAAUCAGGAGGGGAACCUACGGAUCCAUAAACGGACUCACACAGGAGGGAAACCAUUUAGCUGUGAUAACUGUGGGAAAAGCUUUAAUCAGAAGGGGUCCCUAAAGAAGCAUAAACUGACUCACACAGGAGAGAAACCAUUUAGCUGUGGUGACUGUGGGAAAAGCUUCAAUCAGAAGGGGAACCUAAGAAACCAUAAACUCACUCACACAGGAGAGAAACCAUUUAGCUGUAAUGAUUGCGGGAAAAGCUUCACUCAAAAGUCUAACUUACUGACGCAUGUGAAAAAAAUACACAAAGGAGGAAAACAGGAUUAAAACUGAAAGAAAGAACAUUAUGACAAAGAUCUAUUUAGUCACAAGAUGAACUUAAAAAGUCAGGAUGUGGACGAUUCUGAGUACACGCUCAGACAAACAUAGCUGGAAUAAGUAAAUGAAGUCUGAGAGAAUGGUCAGAUUAACUGAUGACUAAAAUAUUAGUGCAGAUGGCAUUGUUUUGUUACGUGCAUAGAUGUAUUAUAGGUAAUGAAUGAGUAGGGAACUUCUGAAAUUCUACAGAUUUUGUGGCACAGCAGGAAUACACACAAACCAAAAAGUAAAAUAAUGGAAUUAAGGAAUAUAUAAAUAUUAGGACGAGCCAUGUCAGAGUGGCAUAGACUAAAAUACACUAGAACAGAAUAUAUUAUAUACAUAUGAGAUGAGUAAAGCUGCAUGUAAAUAUUAGGACGAGCCAUGUCAGAGUGGCAUUGACUAAAAGACACUAGAACAGAAUAUAUUAUAUACAUAUGAGAUGAGUAAAGCAGUAUGUAAAUAUUAUUAAAGUGACUAGUGUUCCAUUAUGCAAGUGGCCAGUGAAUUCAUGUCUAUGUAUAUAGGGCAGCAGCCUCUAAGGUUCAGGGUUAGGUAACUGGGUGGAAGCCGCCUAGGGGAACAUUCUCAAAUAUGUGGGUGUAAAACACUGUUAAAAGCACUGUUUGUGUAGGGGUGGCUGUCCCUAGCAUUGCCAAAAGACAAAGAGCUGUGACUGGAUCAGUGGUUCACCAAUCAGGGCCUUGAUGGGCUUGGCAACAGUAACAAAGGGUGAUGUGUAAUGAAACUAGGGUGCGUGUGCCCUGGGUAAACAAUUUUUUUGGGGGGGGGGAUUGGGCAUUUCUUUAUGAGCAUCGGGUAACGUCCUCGGAACAAACCGGGAACUAGACAAAAACCUCCAGGAGAGAGCAUGGCACAACGUCCCAUGAACCUUUAGGGACCAUGACACAACAUCCCAAUAAUUCCUUAAAAACGUCCUCGAGACCAGCCAGGAAUUAGACAGAUCCUCUAGGGAACCAUGACACAACGUCCUGACGACUUUAGGCGACCAUUUUGUGACAUCCUGGGAGGUCCCAACGACUCAUUGUUUACAUGGAAGUUAUGUUAUUCAUUAAAUAAGUAACAUUUACUUUUUUUAUUAACCCAUGUUUUUUUUACAGUUUUUCUGCUACAAAAGUGUGCAAUGCUGUGAUCAAGGCAAAAGGGGGGCUACUUUGAAGAAUCUCAGAUAUAAAAUAUAUUUUGAUUUGUU